RNAcentral lists this long non-coding RNA (244 nucleotides) under Elaeis guineensis (African oil palm). Its description in RNAcentral is "long non-coding RNA (EGUI_LNC037341)". The record is from RNAcentral. Lineage: Eukaryota; Viridiplantae; Streptophyta; Magnoliopsida; Arecales; Arecaceae.
UGAUCAUCACAUACUCAUGAGGAGAAUAUCUUUGGGAAGGAUGAUGCUCUCUAGUAGGUCUUCUUAACUGAGGCUCAACUAAUGAUUCUGAAGGGGCUUACUCAGCAUACUUAUCUAGCAUAUUAUUAUCAAGUAUGGCUUUAUCAACUGUGUUACCAUCAUCUUCUUGUACAUCUCUCCCGUUAUCAUUAUUCAUCAUGGUAGGAGGCAUUGGAUCCAAAUCAUGUAAUUUCUAAUGAUAGAC